This is a small nuclear RNA of Cricetulus griseus (Chinese hamster), 161 nucleotides long. Its record names the gene U1. It matches the Rfam family "U1 spliceosomal RNA". From Rfam's summary of the family: U1 is a small nuclear RNA (snRNA) component of the spliceosome (involved in pre-mRNA splicing). The record is from Ensembl. Lineage: Eukaryota; Metazoa; Chordata; Mammalia; Rodentia; Cricetidae.
AUACUUAGCUGGCAGGGGAGAUUCCAUGAUCACAAGGUGGUUUUCCCAGGCGAGGCUUAUCCAUUGCACUCUGGAUGUGCUAAACCCUGCGAUUUCCCCAAAUGUGGGAAACUCGACUGCAUAAUUUGUGGUAGUGGGGUCUGCAUUCAUACUUUCCCCUG